CGCGUAGACGGUUUUGUAAGUCAGAUGUGAAAUCCCUGGGCUCAACCUGGGAACUGCAUUUGAGACUGCAUGGCUAGAGUAUGGAAGAGGGAAGUGGAAUUUCCGGUGUAGCGGUGAAAUGCGUAGAUAUCGGAAGGAACACCAGUGGCGAAAGCGACUUCCUGGUCCAAUACUGACGUUCAUGUGCGAAAGCGUGGGGAGCAAACAGGAUUAGAUACCCUGGUAGUCCACGCCAUAAACGAUGACAACUAGAUGUUGGGAGGGUCUGCCUCUCGGUGUCGCAGCUAACGCGUUAAGUUGUCCGCCUGGGGAGUACGGCCGCAAGGUUGAA
Molecule: ribosomal RNA, 331 nt
Filed under: uncultured bacterium
Lineage: Bacteria
Description: bacterial SSU rRNA
Rfam family: Bacterial small subunit ribosomal RNA
Source: RNAcentral